This 1803-nucleotide ribosomal RNA is filed under the name marine metagenome. RNAcentral describes it as "bacterial LSU rRNA". It matches the Rfam family "Bacterial large subunit ribosomal RNA", at positions 523 to 2294 of the family's 2925-position model. The record is from RNAcentral.
ACCCCUGUUAGGGGAGUGAAAUAGAAUCUGAAACUGUCUGCCAACAAUCGGUAGGAGGGCUAUAUCUGGGUUUACUCAGAGAUGCCUGACUGCGUACCUUUUGCAUAAUGGGCCAGGGACUUAUUUUUAAUAGCAAGAUUAAGCCGUUAGGUGUAGUCGUAGCGAAAGCGAGUCUGAAUAGGGCGUUAGUUAUUGGAAAUAGACCCGAAGCGGGACGAUCUAGCCAUGGGCAGGCUGAAGCCUCCGGAAACGGAUGUGGAGGGCCGAACCGUUGAAGGGUGAAAACUUCUCGGAUGACCUGUGGUUAGGAGUGAAAGGCUAAUCAAGUUCCGUGAUAGCUGGUUCUCCUCGAAAUAUAUUUAGGUAUAGCCUCAUGUGUUCUUCUCUGGGGGUAGAGCACUGAUUGGACUAGGGGGUCGAAAGACUUACCAAACCCUAUCAAACUCCGAAUACCAGAGAUAGUAGCAUGGGAGUCAGACUAUGGGUGCUAAGAUCCGUAGUCGAAAGGGAAACAACCCAGAUCGCAAUCUAAGGUCCCUAAAUCUAGACUAAGUGGUUAAGGAUGUAAAUUUUCAUAGACAGCCAGGAGGUAGGCUUAGAAGCAGCCACCCUUUAAAGACAGCGUAACAGCUCACUGGUCGAUGAAAAUUUGCGCCGAAAAUGAAUCGGGGCUAAGUCUAGUACCGAAGAUGCGGAUUGUAUAUUUAUAUACAGUGGUAGAGGAGCGUUCUUAGUGGAAUGAAGCAUUACCGUAAGGAGAUGUGGACUGCUAAGAAGUGAGAAUCCUGGCAUGAGUAGCGACAAAAGUGGUGAGAAUCCACUUCACCGUAAGCGUAAGGGUUCCUGGGCAAGGCUCGUCCUCCCAGGGUUAGUCGGGACCUAAGGCGAGGCCGAAAGGCGUAGUCGAUGGAAAACAGGUUAAUAUUCCUGUACCACCUAUUGUGAGUGAUGGGGUGACGGAGAAGGAUAGAUCAGCCAAGUGUCGGAUUACUUGGUUCAAGCAUGUAGAAGUAAGGAAUAGGCAAAUCCGUUCCUUUCUAACUUCGAGACGUGAGUUACGAGAGACCUAGUCUCAUAAAGUGAUUGAUUCCAUGCUUCCUAGAAAAACCUCUAAAUGUUGAACAAUAGGUGCUCGUACUGUAAACGGACACACGUACGCGGGUAGAGUAUACCAAGGUGUUUGAGAUAAUUAUGGCUAAGGAACUCGGCAAAAUAGCUCCGUAACUUCGGAAGAAGGAGUGCCUAUAUUAGGUGAAAGCUCUUGCAGCUGGAGCCGAAAUAGGUGGCACUGAAAUGGUGGAAGCGACUGUUUACCAAAAACACAGGCCUGUGCUAACCCGCAAGGGGAUGUAUACGGGCUGACGCCUGCCCGGUGCUGGACGGUUAAGGGGAUGGGUUAUCCUUCGGGAGAAGCUUAGAACCGAAGCCCCAGUAAACGGCGGCCGUAACUAUAACGGUCCUAAGGUAGCGAAAUUCCUUGUCGUCUAAUUAGCGACCCGCAUGAAUGGCGUAACGACUUCUAUGCUGUCUCGGCCAUAAUCUCAGCGAAAUUGUAGUGCUGGUGAAGAUGCCAGCUUCCCGUUGUGGGACGGAAAGACCCCGUGCACCUUUACUAUAACCUAGCACUGGAUUUUGAUGAUAAAUGCGUAGGAUAGGUGGGAGACUUUGAAGAUUCGAUUUCGGUUGGAUCUGAGUCGUUGGUGAAAUACCACCCUUUUACUGUUAGAAUCCUAACUGUAAUCCGUUAUCCGGAUUAAGGACAAUGUUAGGCGGGUAGUUUGACUGGGGCGGUUGACUCCUAAA